GAGGAAGAACGUAGCGAAAUGCGAUACUUGGUGUGAAUUGCAGAAUCCCGUGAACCAUCGAGUCUUUGAACGCAAGUUGCGCCCGAAGCCAUCAGGUUGAGGGCACGUCUGCCUGGGCGUCACAUAUCGUUGCCCAAUGCCUAUUGCAGUGCAAUAGGAAUUUCUAGGGCGAAUGAUGGCUUCCCGUGAGCGUUGUUGCCUCGCGGUUGGUUGAAAAUCGAGUCCUUGGUAGGGUGUGCCAUGGUAGAUGGUGGUCGAGUUAGAACGAUACCGAUCAUGUGCAUGCUCCCCAAAAUAUGGCCUCUAUGACCCACACGCGUCUUUUGACGCUCAUGACGAGACCUCAGGUCAGGCGGGGCUACCCGCUGAAUUUAAGCAUAUCAAUAAGCGGAGGA
RNAcentral lists this unclassified non-coding RNA (395 nucleotides) under soil metagenome. RNAcentral describes it as "partial contains 5.8S ribosomal RNA, internal transcribed spacer 2, and large subunit ribosomal RNA". The stretch from base 1 to 122 matches the Rfam family "5.8S ribosomal RNA", at positions 35 to 154 of the family's 154-position model. The record is from RNAcentral.